GACGAACGCUGGCGGCGUGCUUAACACAUGCAAGUCGAACGGAAAGGCCCUGCUUUUGUGGGGUGCUCGAGUGGCGAACGGGUGAGUAACACGUGAGUAACCUGCCCUUGACUUUGGGAUAACUUCAGGAAACUGGGGCUAAUACCGGAUAGGAGCUCCUGCUGCAUGGUGGGGGUUGGAAAGUUUCGGCGGUUGGGGAUGGACUCGCGGCUUAUCAGCUUGUUGGUGGGGUAGUGGCUUACCAAGGCUUUGACGGGUAGCCGGCCUGAGAGGGUGACCGGCCACAUUGGGACUGGGAUACGGCCCAGACUCCUACGGGAGGCAACAGUGGGGAAUAUUCACAAUGGGCGGAAGCCUGAUGCAGCAACGCCGCGUGCGGGAUGACGGCCUUCGGGUUGUAAACCGCUUUCGCCUGUGACGAAGCGUGAGUGACGGUAAUGGGUAAAGAAGCACCGGCUAACUACGUG
This 467-nucleotide ribosomal RNA is filed under the name uncultured bacterium. RNAcentral's name for it is "partial 16S ribosomal RNA". It matches the Rfam family "Bacterial small subunit ribosomal RNA", at positions 28 to 507 of the family's 1533-position model. The record is from RNAcentral.